This is a non-coding RNA of Patiria miniata (bat star), 72 nucleotides long. The record is from the annotation of a RefSeq genome assembly. NCBI's taxonomy places the organism in Eukaryota, Metazoa, Echinodermata, Asteroidea, Valvatida, Asterinidae.
GGUCCCGUGGUGUAAUGGUUAGCACUUUGGACUUUGAAUCCAGCGAUCCGAGUUCGAGUCUCGGCGGGACCU